UACGGAGGGAGCUAGCGUUGUUCGGAUAUACUGGGCGUAAAGCGCACGUAGGCGGCGCCGUAAGUCAGGGGUGAAAUCCCGGAGCUCAACUCCGGAACUGCCCUUGAAACUGCAGUGCUAGAAUCUUGGAGAGGCGAGUGGAAUUCCGAGUGUAGAGGUGAAAUUCGUAGAUAUUCGGAAGAACACCAGUGGCGAAGGCGACUCGCUGGACAAGUAUUGACGCUGAGGUGCGAAAGCGUGGGUAGCAAACAGG
This 253-nucleotide ribosomal RNA is filed under the name uncultured bacterium. RNAcentral's name for it is "partial 16S ribosomal RNA". It matches the Rfam family "Bacterial small subunit ribosomal RNA", at positions 524 to 776 of the family's 1533-position model. The record is from RNAcentral.